GAAAGCAGCAUUCAGUUCCUGGUAUUUGGACUGAGUUGAGCUUAUGGAUUCCCGGAGGUUAUUAUUCACAGUCUGAAACAAAUGAGAGAAAUGUCCCAGAGACAAGUCCAUGACCAUCGUCACAGGAAUCUCAUUCAAACCACAUAAAUAUUUGACUCCAGAAUGAACUCUCUCUUCUUCCUUUGAGGCAAAGAAGGUCUCACCAAGCCUCAUUCAAGAGAUUCACUGAGAGGGAAGAAUCCAGGAGGUGGCUGUCCCUGCAAAGAGGGAAAGGCAGCUCCCAACUGAACAAAUACAGGGUGAUUUCAUGCUCAGUGAUCAGCUGGUUUUCCUGCUCAGGAAUUCGUUGCUUUUUUGCUGAGAUAUUGGAUCAGGGUGUGCUGCUUUGGACAGAAAUGGGUGUUGUUUUCCCUAGAAAGAGAUAUGCAGUCCAUUGUGGGCCACCAAAUAAGUGCUGAGAACCCAGCCCAGGUCUUCUGUAAGAGCAGCAAGUCGUCUUAACCAUGGAGCCAUCUCUGAAGUCCAAGUCAUCAAAUAAUAAAUGUAUGAAGAGCACAUGCAUGCCUGGUGCCCAUGGAAGCCAAGAGAAAACAUCGGAUCCUUUGGCACUGGAGUUACAGUUGAAAACUGCCGUUCUGGUUUUGGGAUAUGAGUCUUUGCCUGUUGCCUGUUGCUGAAGUUGUUUUGAAUUUUAGUGUCUUGUAUAUAAAGCUGGUGUGAACUGAAAUAAAUGAGUCUUUAAAAGAAAAUAUGUUCUCUUU
Alexandromys fortis (reed vole) is the source of this 761-nucleotide long non-coding RNA. RefSeq lists it as uncharacterized. The record is from RefSeq and is a predicted model, not a curated record. Lineage: Eukaryota; Metazoa; Chordata; Mammalia; Rodentia; Cricetidae. The transcript has 6 exons.